UCGAUUCCCUUAGUAGCGGCGAGCGAAACGGGAAGAGCCCAAACCAACAAGCUUGCUUGUUGGGGUUGUAGGACACUCUAUACGGAGUUACAAAGGACGACAUUAGACGAAUCAUCUGGAAAGAUGAAUCAAAGAAGGUAAUAAUCCUGUAGUCGAAAAUGUUGUCUCUCUUGAGUGGAUCCUGAGUACGACGGAGCACGUGAAAUUCCGUCGGAAUCUGGGAGGACCAUCUCCUAAGGCUAAAUACUCUCUAGUGACCGAUAGUGAACCAGUACCGUGAGGGAAAGGUGAAAAGCACCCCGGAAGGGGAGUGAAAUAGAACCUGAAACCGUGUGCUUACAAGUAGUCAGAGCCCGUUAAUGGGUGAUGGCGUGCCUUUUGUAGAAUGAACCGGCGAGUUACGAUUUGAUGCAAGGUUAAGCAGUAAAUGUGGAGCCGUAGCGAAAGCGAGUCUGAAUAGGGCGUUUAGUAUUUGGUCGUAGACCCGAAACCAGGUGAUCUACCCUUGGUCAGGUUGAAGUUCAGGUAACACUGAAUGGAGGACCGAACCGACUUACGUUGAAAAGUGAGCGGAUGAACUGAGGGUAGCGGAGAAAUUCCAAUCGAACCUGGAGAUAGCUGGUUCUCUCCGAAAUAGCUUUAGGGCUAGCCUCAAGUGAUGAUUAUUGGAGGUAGAGCACUGUUUGGACGAGGGGCCCCUCUCGGGUUACCGAAUUCAGACAAACUCCGAAUGCCAAUUAAUUUAACUUGGGAGUCAGAACAUGGGUGAUAAGGUCCGUGUUCGAAAGGGAAACAGCCCAGACCACCAGCUAAGGUCCCAAAAUAUAUGUUAAGUGGAAAAGGAUGUGGCGUUGCCCAGACAACUAGGAUGUUGGCUUAGAAGCAGCCAUCAUUUAAAGAGUGCGUAAUAGCUCACUAGUCGAGUGACACUGCGCCGAAAAUGUACCGGGGCUAAACAUAUUACCGAAGCUGUGGAUUGUCCUUUGGACAAUGGUAGGAGAGCGUUCUAAGGGCGUUGAAGCAUGAUCGUAAGGACAUGUGGAGCGCUUAGAAGUGAGAAUGCCGGUGUGAGUAGCGAAAGACGGGUGAGAAUCCCGUCCACCGAUUGACUAAGGUUUCCAGAGGAAGGCUCGUCCGCUCUGGG
This 1144-nucleotide ribosomal RNA is filed under the name Staphylococcus aureus. RNAcentral describes it as "partial 23S ribosomal RNA". It matches the Rfam family "Bacterial large subunit ribosomal RNA", at positions 231 to 1379 of the family's 2925-position model. The record is from RNAcentral. Lineage: Bacteria; Bacillati; Bacillota; Bacilli; Caryophanales; Staphylococcaceae.